GCUCUUCCUGAUCUGGUGGAGGCUCCGAGAGGAGCUAGGACAAGGGAUGGUGCCCCUAUACCACCCCACCCCCACAUACUUGCCUGCAGAAGGCCACAUGACCAGGAUUAUGGUGGGUGAGGGCCAGAGGGAAGGCCCAGGUGAGAGGGUGGAAUGUGAACAGGCUGGUUAUUUGCAUGCCAGGGACAAGAGAGAAAAAAGCUCAGCAUUAGCAGAGAAGACGGACUUCUGCAGUGGCACCUACAGCUGUUCCCUUGGCCUCCCAAACAACCCAGGUGUGACGUCGGGAACCGGGAAUGCAGGCAACAGAGUGAUUCCAGCUGCCUCACAAGGAAGAGGGUGUGGGGGAAGAGCAGAGCAUCCGGGCUGGAAGCACAGUCAGAACCCUGCGUGCAGCCGGACACUCACUGUUCUUCCCCACGUGUGCUGGGCACCCGCCCUGCGUCAGGCUCUGUUCCAGGAGUUGGGUGAAACGGUGACUGAAAUAGACAGAACUCCUGUCGGUGAUGCCCACGUGAGAGAAUAUAAUCAAUGGACAAUGCACCGCACAUAUUUAAAACGUGCAAAUUGAUCCGUUUUGACAUGUGAAUGUCUGUGAACCAGCUCUACAGUUAAGAUGGUGACCAUCUCCAUCACCCUCAAAGUUUCCUUCUCCUCUUUGGAAUCCCCUCACUCCAGUCUCCAGCCACCCACUGAAUGGAAACCACUGAGAUGGUGUCUCACUGUGUUUCCCAGGCUGGUCUGGAACUCCUGGCCUCAAGUCAUCCUCCUGCCUUGGCCUCUGAAAGUGCUGGGAUUACAAACGUGGGCCAUCACCCUCAGCCCCUCUCUGCAAUUUUUGGCUAUUAUGAAUAAAGCUGCUAUGAGCAGUCAUGGACAA
Long non-coding RNA from Pan troglodytes (chimpanzee), 880 nucleotides. RefSeq lists it as uncharacterized. The record is from RefSeq and is a predicted model, not a curated record. The transcript is spliced from 2 exons. NCBI's taxonomy places the organism in Eukaryota, Metazoa, Chordata, Mammalia, Primates, Hominidae.